This is a long non-coding RNA of Phascolarctos cinereus (koala), 431 nucleotides long. RefSeq lists it as uncharacterized. The record is from RefSeq and is a predicted model, not a curated record. NCBI's taxonomy places the organism in Eukaryota, Metazoa, Chordata, Mammalia, Diprotodontia, Phascolarctidae.
AUGGAAGGAGAGGGGCUGGUCAAUGGAACCACAGAGCCAUGGGGCAAACAGCACGUCUCAGAGAACCAGGGCCUGGGCUCUGACCCAGCACCUCCAGCUCCAGGGGUCCCUGAAGUGCUUGAGCACAGCAGGCAAAGGCCUGACUGUCUUCUUGAAGAUGGUCAAGCCCUUCUGUUUGGAGGUCAGCUAGAGAAACUGGCAAAGCAGCUGUCAAUCCAGAAAAUCCAGGGGAACUGAGAAAGGAAAUUGAGCAAACCUGAGAGGACUGAACUGACUUGGUAGCUACAAGAUUCUCAGGACUGUGACGCAGUCCCAGGUCUUCUGAAACCACUAUCAUGUCUCUCCAAGUGGGUUAGCUGGCACAUUUUCAUUUGAAAUAUUGUACUAUGUUAUAGAAAUGUUUGCUUUAUUCCAAAAAUUAAAAAUAAAAU